AAGAUUUUAAGUUAAAUUAAAUAUAAACUUUAAACCUUCAAAGUUUAAUAUAUAAAUAAAUAUUUUUAUAAAUCUUA
RNAcentral lists this transfer RNA (77 nucleotides) under Acropyga butteli. RNAcentral's name for it is "tRNA-Trp". The record is from RNAcentral. Lineage: Eukaryota; Metazoa; Arthropoda; Insecta; Hymenoptera; Formicidae.